GAUUCCUUAACGUCGAAUUGAACGAAUUUUUUAUAUGAUGAAGUUCUAUAUGUCUAGUUAUGAUAUGGAAAGUUUUACAUUGUUUUGAAUUAAACUGAAUGUUUAGUUAGCAGCACUGAGUCGUGAGUGAUGCCAUGGCACUGAGCGUGUAAAGUGCGGCAUCUAUCGCAAGUGUGGGGCAUCACCUUAUUGUGAAAUCCCAUGAAGUACAGGUGCUAAGAGCUUAGUUGGUUGCAGAGCGGAAUUUGUUGAAGAAUGGCAGCGUGUUAUAAGGAGUUUGAAGAAGGAGAGAGCAAAGACAGUGGAGACGAAUCAACAUCAGUUUGAAAUAUUGUAAGAAGAAAAUCAAAAGCUGUUGAAGAUGGUAGAUUUUGUUGUUGUUGUUGUUGUUUUAAAUGAAUGUAGUCCCAUAUUUUCUCUUUUUUUUUUUAAUGUGAAAUAAACAAAUAUAUAUAUAUAUAUAUUUUUUAUUUUUUAUUUUUUUAUUUAAAUUUUUUUUUAUUAGUGUAUGUUUCUGAUUUUAAAUUUAUUUAUUAUAUUUUUUUGAAUUUGGGGAUUGGUGAGGGGAGGAACUCUUUCAUUUUUCAUUGACCGCCAAAUAACUCCAGCCAAAACUCAAAUUUCCCCGUUCUUCUCCAGCCAAAGUGAAAAAUGGGCAAUUUCGAAAACCUAGCAGCCGCCCAACACUCACUCUUCCUCUGCGUUUCUCUCUCAUCUCAUCCAUCUUCGUCUGCCUCUCACUGCCUCUGUCUCUCUCUCACAAUCUCCCCCUCUCUGUCUCUCUCACGAUCUCACCUCUUUCUCAAUUAGUUAGAUUUCAGUUCUCUUUUUCAAGGAACGAUCUCACCUCGCAUCUUCAGCCACCUGCUUCUCUCUCUCUCUCUCUCUCUCUCUCUCAACCUCAUCUUCUUCUCCGCAUCUUCAUCUGCCUCUCUAUGUCUCUGUCUCUCUCGCACGAUCUCACCCUCUCCGUCUCUCUCAUGAUCUCACCUCUGUCUCAAUUAGUUAGAUUUCAGUUCUCUUUUUCAUGUCUCUGGUUUUUUUUGUUUGUUGUUGGUAUAAAUGAUCAUGUGGAUUUUGGGUAUUUCGAAAUUGUCUUUCGAUUUUCAAGGCAUGUGGUGUUUCCUUUUGAAUCUAACGAUAAAUUGAAUUUGUGCAGGUGUUUUCUAUGGCUCAAGGGAACAACAAUUGGAUUUUGGGUUAAUUGAUUUCUAGGUAUGUUCUUCUUUUCCAGAUUGGUAGUAUUUGGUUGACUUUCAUCAGGAAAAAUACAUCUGCAUUUAUUUCCCCUUCUCUGUUGGCCUGGGUUGCUGUUCUGUUUUCCUGGGGCUGUUUGUUUCUCUUGCAAAGGUUUGGUUUCAUGUAUUCCUCUUAUUUGUGUUCUCAGAUUUGGUGAACAUAUGUAAUUAGCUUUUAUAUGCCAAUCACUUUGUGCUCCAUUUCUUGAACUAUGCUGCCACUGUAUUGCAAAUGUUAAACUGCUUCUUUGUGCGUAACUUGUAGAGGAACUGAAUUUAGCAUUCAAAUCUUAAACUUGCCUAUGCCAUUGAAACGUUAUUAGUUGGAUUUGAUAGACUUUGCUUAGGUUAACACGCUCAAUGACUUUCAUUCUUCAUCAUUCUCUUAAGGCCUGUGUAUUGUUUGUUAUCUGGGUAUUGGCUUAAUAUUUGUACAACAUAGCUUCUUGAGUUCUUUUAGCUUCUGGUAAUUUGGGUAUGAGGUUUGUAUCACCCAAGUAACAUGAAAAUCCUUUCUUUCAAAGUACUGGAGGCCUAUUAACAUGAAAUUCUUUUUUGCUUUUUUGAAAAUCCUUGCAGCAAUAGAGAAGCAGCAGUGUCAAUCAAGUUGAAUGACUCGCCACAAUUAGAGAAGCAUCUUUUUUUUCCUCGUGUGGAGACCCGUACCUUGCCCACCUCUUCAAUGACUUAAAGAUGAACUAUUAUCUUAACAUAGAAGCACCAUAAGAGUUUAGAUUUACUUUGGGAUAUUGAAAAUGUUUACUAAUGAUAUAGGAUUGUAAUGAGUUUUUGGAAUUUAUUAUAUUGGUCUUUUAUUAAUGAUAAUAUAUAUUAUUUUUGG
Molecule: long non-coding RNA, 2079 nt
Filed under: Prunus dulcis (almond)
Lineage: Eukaryota; Viridiplantae; Streptophyta; Magnoliopsida; Rosales; Rosaceae
Description: sRNA ncRNA
Source: RNAcentral